UGGGGAAUAUUGCACAAUGGACGGAAGUUUGAUGCAGCGACGCCGCGUGGAGGGUGUAGGCCUUCGGGUUUUGAACCCCUUUUUCUCGCGAAAAAGGCACAGUUUUGGCUGUGUUGAUGGUAGUGGGGGAAGAAGCGCCGGCUAACUACGUGCCAGCAGCCGCGGUAAUACGUAGGGCGCGAGCGUUUUCCGGAUUUAUUGGGCGUAAAGAGCUCGUAGGUGGUUCGUCGCGUCUGUCGUGAAAGCCAGCAGCUUAACUGUUGGUCUGCGGUGGGUACGGGCGGGCUUGAGUGCGGUAGGGGUGACUGGAAUUCCUGGUGUAGCGGUGGAAUGCGCAGAUAUCAGGAGGAACACCGAUGGCGAAGGCAGGUCACUGGGCCGUUACUGACACUGAGGAGCGAAAGCGUGGGGAGCGAACAGG
Molecule: ribosomal RNA, 421 nt
Filed under: Fusobacteriota bacterium
Lineage: Bacteria; Fusobacteriati; Fusobacteriota
Description: Fusobacteria bacterium partial 16S ribosomal RNA
Rfam family: Bacterial small subunit ribosomal RNA
Source: RNAcentral